AGUUUGAGCUAAAUAUAAUAUAAAUAUUAGCUUAUCUAUAAAGGGUGUAGUAAUACCUUUUUAAUAAUUAUAUUUAGGGGUGAUAGGCCUAUCAAAAACUAAGAUAUCUUGAAUCUAAAUAAAAGUAUGUAGUACUAAUUUCAACACGACUAUAAAGUGAUUAGGCUUUAUAGAACAUAUUAAUUCUUUAUAAAAAUUAAUUAAUCAUAAUUUAAUAAUUAAAUAUUUUAAUAUAUUAAUAUUUAUAUAUUGUAAUUAUAUUAAAGUAUUUAGAUAGUUUUAAAAAGUCUUAUAUAAAUUAUAUAAUGUUUAUAUAAGUAUUUAAAGUUUAUAUGUUUACAUAAUGAACUCGGCAAUAAUGCUUUUCAACUGUUUAUCAAAAACAUAACUAUAUGAAUAAAUAUAUAUAGCAAUUUCUGCUCAAUGAUUUAGAUUAAAUAGCCGCAGUAUUCUGACUGUGCAAAGGUAGCAUAAUCAAUUGACUUAUAAUUGAAGUCUAGAAUGAAUGAAAUUAAUGGAAAGCCACUAUAUUUUUUGUAAAUAUACAUAAAUUAUUUAUGAAGUGAAAAUACUUCUAUAAAAAUAAUAGACGAGAAGACCCUAGAAAUUUUUAGAAAUUUAAAUUUUUUUUUAAAAAUUUUUUUGUUGGGGCGACAAAGAAGCAAUCAUAACCUUCUUAUUAACAACUUGCACUUUUUUUGUUGUAUGAAAAAAUUACUCUAGGGAUAACAGCAUAAUAUUUAAAAGUUUAUGACCUCGAUGUUGGACUAGGAAAUAAUAACUUAAAAGGUUUUUUAUAUUGCUCUGUUCGAGCAUUAACUCCUACAUGAUC
This 832-nucleotide ribosomal RNA is filed under the name Mandarina hirasei. RNAcentral's name for it is "partial 16S ribosomal RNA". The record is from RNAcentral. Lineage: Eukaryota; Metazoa; Mollusca; Gastropoda; Stylommatophora; Camaenidae.